Acanthosepion pharaonis is the source of this 106-nucleotide non-coding RNA. The record is from the annotation of a GenBank genome assembly. NCBI's taxonomy places the organism in Eukaryota, Metazoa, Mollusca, Cephalopoda, Sepiida, Sepiidae.
UGCCCAUAAUAUGUUGAAACAUCAGUUCUCAUAUGAACAUUGAAGUUAAGCAGCAUUGAGCCUGGUCAGUACCUAGAUGAGUAACUGCUUGGGAAUACCAGGUGCU